UAAUACAUGCAAGUCGAACGAGUACGCACUUCGGUGCAAUGUAUGAGUGGCGAACGGGUGAGUAACACGUGAGAAACCUGCCUCGGAGACCGGGACAACCAUUGGAAACGAUGGCUAAUACCGGAUGUCCUUUUACGGUCGCAUGACUGUUUGAGGAAAUGAUCCGUCGCUCCGGGAGGGUCUCGCGGCCUAUCAGCUUGUUGGUGAGGUAAUGGCUCACCAAGGCAUCGACGGGUAGCUGGUCUGAGAGGACCAUCAGCCACACUGGGGACUGAGACACGGGCCCAGACUCCUACGGGAGGCAGCAGUAGGGAAUCUUGCACAAUGGGCGAAAGCCUGAUGCAGCGACGCCGCGUGGGGGAUGAAGGCUUUCGGGUUGUAAACCCCUUUCAGUAGGGACGAAAAUGACGGUACCUACAGAAGAAGCUCCGGCCAACUACGUGCCAGCAGCCGCGGUAACACGUAGGGAGCAAGCGUUGUCCGGAUUUAUUGGGCGUAAAGAGCUCGUAGGUGGUUCGGUAAGUCGGAUGUGAAAACUCAAGGCUCAACCUUGAGACGCCAUCCGAUACUGCUGUGACUUGAGUUCGGUAGAGGAGUGUGGAAUUCCUGGUGUAGCGGUGAAAUGCGCAGAUAUCAGGAGGAACACCAACAGCGAAGGCAGCACUCUGGGCCGAUACUGACACUGAGGAGCGAAAGCAUGGGGAGCAAACAGGAUUAGAUACCCUGGUAGUCCAUGCCGUAAACGUUGGGCACUAGGUGUGGGGAUUUAUCAACGAUCUCCGCGCCGUCGCUAACGCAUUAAGUGCCCCGCCUGGGGAGUACGGCCGCAAGGCUAAAACUCAAAGGAAUUGACGGGGGCCCGCACAAGCGGCGGAGCAUGUUGCUUAAUUCGAGGCAACGCGAAGAACCUUACCUGGGUUUGACAUUUAGGGAAAAGCUAUAGAGAUAUGGUGUCCUUCGGGGCCCUAAACAGGUGGUGCAUGGGCUGUCGUCAGCUCGUGUCGUGAGAUGUUGGGUUAAGUCCCGCAACGAGCGCAACCCCUGUCCUAUGUUGCCAGCACGUAAAGGUGGGGACUCAUGGGAGACUGCCCGGCGUCAAGUCGGAGGAAGGUGGGGACGACGUCAAGUCAUCAUGCCCCUUAUGUCCAGGGCUGCAAACAUGCUACAAUGGCCGGUACAACGGGCAGCGACACUGCGAAGUGAAGCGAAUCCCUUAAAGCCGGUCUCAGUUCGGAUUGAAGUCUGCAACUCGACUUCAUGAAGCGGAGUCGCUAGUAAUCCCGGAUCAGCAACGCCGGGGUGAAUACGUUCCCGGGCCUUGUACACACCGCCCGUCACACCACGAAAGUCGGUAACACCCGAAGUCAGUGGCCCAACUCGUAAGAGGGGGAGCUGCCGAAGGUGGGAUCGGUGAUUGGGGUG
This 1422-nucleotide ribosomal RNA is filed under the name uncultured Acidimicrobiales bacterium. Its description in RNAcentral is "bacterial SSU rRNA". It matches the Rfam family "Bacterial small subunit ribosomal RNA". Lineage: Bacteria; Bacillati; Actinomycetota; Acidimicrobiia; Acidimicrobiales. The record is from RNAcentral.